RNAcentral lists this ribosomal RNA (253 nucleotides) under uncultured bacterium. RNAcentral describes it as "partial 16S ribosomal RNA". It matches the Rfam family "Bacterial small subunit ribosomal RNA", at positions 524 to 776 of the family's 1533-position model. The record is from RNAcentral.
UACAGAGGGUGCGAGCGUUAAUCGGAAUUACUGGGCGUAAAGCGCGCGUAGGCGGCUUUGCAAGUCGAGUGUGAAAUCCCCAGGCUUAACCUGGGAACUGCAUUCGAGACUGCAUAGCUAGAGUAUGGGAGAGGGAAGUGGAAUUUCAGGUGUAGCGGUGAAAUGCGUAGACAUCUGAAGGAACAUCAGUGGCGAAAGCGACUUCCUGGACCAAUACUGACGCUCAUGUGCGAAAGCGUGGGGAGCAAACAGG